Phrynosoma platyrhinos (Desert horned lizard) is the source of this 72-nucleotide non-coding RNA. Lineage: Eukaryota; Metazoa; Chordata; Lepidosauria; Squamata; Phrynosomatidae. The record is from the annotation of a GenBank genome assembly.
GCCAGUGUGGCAUAGUGGCUUAAGUGCUGGACUACAACUCUGGAGACCAGGGUUCGAUUCCUAGCUUGGCCA